UGCUGUCCUCGUUUACUGCCACACAGAUGACUGACUCCACAGAGGAGGUCCAUAGGCAUCCUUUUGUCCAGUAUUUCAUAAUGUUAAAAAAAGCUACAGAGCUUUGCAGAAAGAUACAUAUAUAUCCUCCAGCAAGUGAAACAGUGUCGAGCUACUAGCCAACUCCCAUGUUAAUCUGGAAUAGGCAUGACAUCUAGGCUACCUCUGCUAAUUAGCUCAAUCCCUUUUGAGUACACCAGUAGACAAGUAAUGAUUGAACUGAAGGAAUGGGACUCUUUGGGAAUAACGGAGAAGAAAAGAUAGAACUUCACUCAGUCAAGCAGUGACCAGAGGAAUGAGAGACAAAGUUCUUAACACAGAAUGGAUAGCCCUUGCACUUUUUACUCCUAUGAAGAAAGAGGGAAUAAUAUAGGACAGAGAUUUUUGAUUUAUUUGCUUGACAGUAAAGAAGCUUGACACCGAG
Long non-coding RNA from Pipra filicauda (Wire-tailed manakin), 463 nucleotides. RefSeq lists it as uncharacterized. The transcript has 4 exons. NCBI's taxonomy places the organism in Eukaryota, Metazoa, Chordata, Aves, Passeriformes, Pipridae. The record is from RefSeq and is a predicted model, not a curated record.